This 702-nucleotide long non-coding RNA is filed under the name Homo sapiens (human). Its description in RNAcentral is "HSALNT0124507". The record is from RNAcentral. Lineage: Eukaryota; Metazoa; Chordata; Mammalia; Primates; Hominidae.
ACCAGGCGCCUCGCACUGCAAGGAACACUGGGCCACUGAAGAGGCUUCAUCUGGUUGACCUGCAGCCCACAGCCUGCCCCGUCCACUGCCAGCCUCAACCCACAGGGAAGCGGGGCCAGCCCACCCUCCCCACCGGGCUGGGGCUCCAGCUCUCCGAGGCCAGGCACAAAGAAAACAGACUGGCAAGAAAUAUACCGAGGGUCCCUAAAUGGGGCAUUCUGGAUGUGUUUUGCUGGUUAAAUACAUAUUCAUUAUAAAAUUUUACAACAGGGAAAGGUCCUAGGGGCUGGCUCACAUACUCGUCAGUCCACCCUCCUCCUCCAGCAGCUGUUGAAAAGCCUGAAAUCCUAUUCCCCAGAGCCCGUUGGGGCUGGAGUUGCAGCCAAUUCGGUUCAGCCAAUUGAACGUGCUUUGCAAGAUCUGAAGGGUGGAAGGGAGGCCAAGGCUUCCUGGCCCCUCAUGCACAUGUGAGGUUCUCUGCAGUGCCUGGUCUUCAGUGCCUAAGGCAUUUUUCUUUUUUUCUUUUCUUUUUUUUAUUUUUGUGUGUGAGACGGAGUCUCGCUCUGACGCCCAGAUUGGAGUGUAAUGGCACGAUCUCAGUUCACUGCAACCUCUGCCUCCUGGGUUCAAGCAAUUCUCGUGCCUCAGCCUCCUGAGUAGCUGGGAUUACAGGCACCCACCACUAUGCUAGGCUAAUUUUUU